CUGGGCGUAAAGCGCGCGUAGGCGGAUAAUUAAGUCAGAUGUGAAAUCCCUGGGCUCAACCUAGGAACUGCAUUUGAUACUGGUUAUCUAGAGUAUGGUAGAGGUGAGUGGAAUUUCAGGUGUAGCGGUGAAAUGCGUAGAGAUCUGAAGGAACAUCAGUGGCGAAGGCGACUCACUGGGCCAUUACUGACGCUGAGGUGCGAAAGCGUGGGUAGCAAACAGGAUUAGAUACCCUGGUAGUCCACGCCCUAAACGAUGUCAACUAGGUGUGUGAGAGUCUAACUCUUGCGUAUCGAAGCUAACGCGAUAAGUUGACCGCCUGGGGAGUACGGUCGCAAGACUAAAACUCAAAUGAAUUGACGGGGGCCCGCACAAGCGGUGGAGCAUGUGGUUUAAUUCGAUGCAACGCGAAGAACCUUACCUGGCCUUGACAUGUAGUGAACUUACCA
Molecule: ribosomal RNA, 449 nt
Filed under: uncultured bacterium
Lineage: Bacteria
Description: bacterial SSU rRNA
Rfam family: Bacterial small subunit ribosomal RNA
Source: RNAcentral